GACGAACGCUGGCGGCGUGCUUAACACAUGCAAGUCGAACGGAAAGGCCUCUUUCGGGGGGUACUCGAGUGGCGAACGGGUGAGUAACACGUGAGUAACCUGCCCUUGACUUUGGGAUAACUUCAGGAAACUGGGGCUAAUACCGGAUAGGAGCUCCUGCUGCAUGGUGGGGGUUGGAAAGUUUCGGCGGUUGGGGAUGGACUCGCGGCUUAUCAGCUUGUUGGUGGGGUAGUGGCUUACCAAGGCUUUGACGGGUAGCCGGCCUGAGAGGGUGACCGGCACAUUGGGACUGGGAUACGGCCCAGACUCCUACGGGAGGCAGCAGUGGGGAAUAUUGCACAAUGGGUGGAAGCCUGAUGCAGCAACGCCGUGUGCGGGAUGACGGCCUUCGGGUUGUAAACCGCUUUCGCUCAUGACGAAGCUUUGUGUGACGGUAGUGGGUAAAGAAGCACCGGCUAACUACGUG
This 466-nucleotide ribosomal RNA is filed under the name uncultured bacterium. Its description in RNAcentral is "partial 16S ribosomal RNA". It matches the Rfam family "Bacterial small subunit ribosomal RNA", at positions 28 to 507 of the family's 1533-position model. The record is from RNAcentral.